CCGCCAGAGAACUACAAGUGAAAAACUUGAAACUCAAAGGACUUGGCGGUGUCCCAUAUCGACCUAGAGGAGCCUGUCCUAUAAUCGAUAACCCUCGCUCCACCCAACCUCCACUAGCACAUCAGCCUAUAUACCGCCGUCGACAGUCUACCCCAUGAGGGUCUAAUAGUAAACAAAAAAGCUUGCUCGCUAAUACGUCAGGUCAAGGUGUAGCUAAUGUUGAGGAAGAGAUUGGCUACAUUUUUUAUUAUAAAAAUACGGAAUGUAAUAUGAAACCCUACAUGAAGGUGAAUUUAGUAGUAAAAU
Molecule: ribosomal RNA, 306 nt
Filed under: Omanosaura jayakari
Lineage: Eukaryota; Metazoa; Chordata; Lepidosauria; Squamata; Lacertidae
Description: partial 12S ribosomal RNA
Rfam family: Bacterial small subunit ribosomal RNA
Source: RNAcentral